GGCGCGGUCGUCUAUUGGAAGGACACGCGGGCUUUCACCUCGUGGACGCCGGUUCGAAUCCGGUUCGCGUCA
Molecule: transfer RNA, 72 nt
Rfam family: tRNA
About the family: Transfer RNA (tRNA) molecules are approximately 80 nucleotides in length. Their secondary structure includes four short double-helical elements and three loops (D, anti-codon, and T loops). Further hydrogen bonds mediate the characteristic L-shaped molecular structure. tRNAs have two regions of fundamental functional importance: the anti-codon, which is responsible for specific mRNA codon recognition, and the 3' end, to which the tRNAs corresponding amino acid is attached (by aminoacyl-tRNA synthetases). tRNAs cope with the degeneracy of the genetic code in two manners: having more than one tRNA (with a specific anti-codon) for a particular amino acid; and 'wobble' base-pairing, i.e. permitting non-standard base-pairing at the 3rd anti-codon position.
Source: Rfam